This 4857-nucleotide long non-coding RNA is filed under the name Homo sapiens (human). RNAcentral describes it as "HSALNT0358051". Lineage: Eukaryota; Metazoa; Chordata; Mammalia; Primates; Hominidae. The record is from RNAcentral.
CUGGUCUCAAAUUCCCGAGCUCCAACGAUCCUCUCGCCUCAGCCUCCCAAGUAGCUGGAACUACAGGUGUGCACCACCAUGCCUGGCUUCUUAUUCUUGUGUAGCAGCAAUAUGAGUUUAAGUUCUGCUGUUCACAAAGAAUCAAUUACAUCAUAAAUGAACUAGGCUCACAGGGAUUAUGUAUUUAUAAUUCGAUAACAGAAACAAUAUAGUAGCUAUCAAGUAUUGAUCACUUCCUGCAUGUCAGGGACUAUGCUAAACUCUUUACUACUUCAUUUAAUUCUCACAAUCCUCAUAUCAUCAUACAUAAUCUGAAUUACAAUCCCCAUUUUACACAUGCAGAAACAGUUGGCAGAACCAGGAUUCAACUCUUCAACACUUAAACUCUUGAAUGCAUGAUUUUAAAAAACACAAUAAUGAAAAGUUCCAACAUACACAAAGUUUGGGCAAAAAAACAUAAUGAACUUCAAGUGCUCCUUACCCUGGUUCAGUAAACAUCAACCUUUAGCCAAUAUUAUUUCUUUUAUGCUCCCUACUGUUUUUUUUUCUUUCUGAAGGAGUUUAAGAAGAGGAGAAAGAAAAUUCUUGGCAUCAUGUUAUUUUACCCAUAAAUACUGCAAUUUAAUUAUCUCUAACAGAUGAGGACAUCUCAAAAAAUCACGAUACCAUUAUCAUAAUGAAGAAAGUAAAAAUAAUUCCUUUAUAGCACCCAAGACCCCCUCCAUGUUCAAAUUCUCCCAUUAUCUCCAACUAUCUCCAUUAGUUUGCUCAAGUUGGAGGGUCGACAUAUUGCAUUAGGUUGAGUCCUUUAAGUCUUUCUUAAUCUCCACAGCUCCUCUAUCCCACCUUUUUCCCCCCGUGUUCAUUUAUUUAUUGAAGAAACUGGGUAAUUUAUUGUGUAGACUCUUCCACACCUGGAUUUGACUGAUUGAGUCCUCAUGGGGAGUUGUUUAACAUGUCCUUUUCUCCCUGUAUUUUAUGUAAACUUUUCUAGUUAAAUGCUUUUAAUGGUUGUAUGGUUAGGGUUAGGUUUACAACCUUUCCACAGAUGGAAAGGUUGCACAUUCUCUUUGCUCACUAUUCUUAGAUGCUAAAAUAUAAAUCUUAAAUGAAAGAAGAAAGAGACCUGAGGAAAACAAAUUUCUCUUAGUAAUGCUGGUGGAAAGUAAACAGACCAAUAUUGCUGUUACCCAGGGUAUAGGCAAACUUUGUCCGCAAAGGGCCACAUGGCAAAUAUAUUCUGCUUUGCAGGCCAUACAGUCUCUUGCAUCUACUGAACUCUGCCAUUGCAGCACAAAGGCAGCCAUAGGCACAUGCAAUAUGUAAAGAAAUGGGAGCGGUUGUGUUUCUAAAACUUUAUUUAUAAAAACAGGCAGUGCGCUGGAUUUGGCCUGUGGGCAGUGGUUUGCUGACCCCUGCUCCAGACCUACCAGCUUGCAGCUGCACAGCUUUCGACUGUGUAUAACAGGUUACAAAAGAGGAAGUGAAACUAUAGGCUGUGCCUUUGGGCACGCUGUGGUCUUUUUUGGUGUGGAGGACUAUUUGGUUUGAGUGAAAGCUGGCAGAAGGAAAUAAAUUUCAUGACGACUUUCAGAUCUGCUUAUGUCUGUUUUCUGAGUACAAGUGUGUAUUGCUCUAGUGACCCAAGCGGCACAGUGGAUGAAUUCUAGAGCUGAGACAGCAGAUGGAGGGUCAGGUUGGGAAUAAAGGAAACACCGACCAAUAGGAGAGCUCACUGAGCCCCAAGUGGGACGUGACACGAAGACCUCAUCACUUCCCAGUGUAAGGAAGAGACCAGGGAGGAGGCUAAGUGAUUUACAUGGAGUCACAGAGCUUGGUGCUUGGCCAAGACCCCAGGUUUCCCAACUCCCAGGUACUACCCCUUCUAUUUCACUAAACUCUUUGGGUUUAUUUAUAAACCACUAUUUUCAUCACCGGCACAAUAGCAUCUUAUUUAACUUAACUUUCCCAUCAAACUACUCAAGGUAAUAUUUAUUCACUCUAAAAAACUUAAGUAUACAUAUGAUUAACCAAUACUUUUUUUUCUCUAGUAUUUACUUCUCCUUAAUCCUUUUUGAAAAAUGGUGGAUAAAGACAAAAAGGGAAUCACAUGUAUACGCAGAUGCAUUUUAUAAACAACAAAGGGAAUCGGCUAUACAUACAUUUAUAUAAAGCAUUAAUGAGACCUGGAUAAAUAUUCAGAAAUUUGACUGAGCAAAAUUACAGUACACAGCAAGUUUAAUUCUCUCAAAUUUCUAGGCCAAUAAAUUAAUUAAGUACUUAAGAAAACAACAUGGAUCACUGCUAUAUCCUCUAAUGUGUGGAUUUUUGUUCUUAUGUAUAAUACCAUUUCUAGCCCUUUUUUCUUUUGUAGUUUAUUCACUUUCUUCCAUGAGGAUCUCCUUCCACCUCGAUUUUCAGACAAGGUUUUUAGUCUCUAACCUACUCCUGGAAGGCCCCUACAACUGAAGUUAGAGGAUAAAAUUCCAAUUUAGAAAAGAUUUUGCCUUCUACUUUUAGGAAAAAGAGAAGCAAAUCACCCAGAACAAACUAAGAUCACUUAUGAUUUGUAAAAAUUCAAUAUAUUCCUUUACAACUUCAUCACACCGCUCUACAGUAAUAUAUGGUAUUAUAUGUUACAUUAUAUCAUAUGAUAUACUUUAGAAUAACUCUUAAAAGGUCAUCUAACUCCAAAAAUAAAGAUGACUUUUUACAGUACUUCCUAAACUAUAAAACUGGCUUAGAAAUGUACAGAAAAAUUUUAAUAAUGAAUUGGGUAGGGGGAGAAAUUCUAUCCUGGUUAUAACUUUAUUUCAGUCCUGUCCUUAGCAUAUGUCUAGUGGGAAGCACAUUUCAUCAGGAAUGAGAAGACAAGGCCCCACUCUCACUCUUCUACACCCACUUUCAUGAGAGCUGAUACUGAGAAUGUGCCUUAUCCUUAAUGAACUUAUCUCCUCAUCUGUGCGGUGGAUACAAUACCUCCACUGCCUCCAUCACAGGGGUGUCAAGAGGAGACAUGAGAUAAUUUGUAUUAAAAGAAGGACAUUCACAGGUAUUUCAUAUCUUUUGUCUCAUUUAAUAUACACAACAACCCUAGAAAGAAGUACUAUCGAAUGUUUUUCUUUAUUUUACAGAUGAGGAAAUCUGUGAAAAUCUGAAAAAUUUGAUUUUUUGAAGACCCUAAAAAUGAAAAUACCUUGCCAAAGGUCACAAAGCUCCCAUCAGUUGUCUAACCCCAAGUUCAUAUUUUUUUCGCUAGACCAGGUCAUGCUGUCACCGUACUUACUUUGUAGUGUACUAAUAUAUACUUAUGUCUUACUAUUUUUGCAUUUUUGGAGCACCUAAGAGUGUGUUAAGAGAGAAACAUUGCAUUGUGGCAGGACAGGACAGUGGUUAAGGGCUAGAUUGCUUAGGUUCAAAUUCCAGGCCUGCCCCAUACUAGCUAAUUAACCUUAGGUAAGUUUACUUAAAUUCUCUGUAUUGCAGAUCUCUUAUCUGUAAAAUUAGGCUAAUAAUAGUACUUACUCAUAUCAUAGUUGCUAUGGUUUGAAUAUGCCCCCCUAAUUUUAUAUGUUAGAAACUUAAUCUCCAAAUUCAUAUGUUGAUGGAAUUUGAAGGUAGGGUCCUUGGCAGGGAUUAAUGAUUAGAUAAGAUCAUCAGGGUAUGGCCUCCACAAUGGGAUUGGUGGCUUUAUAAGAAGAGGAGAAAGACCUGAACUGGACAUGCAUACUCUUGUUCUCACCAUAUGAUGUCCUCCGCCAUCUUGACAAGGCCCUCACCAGAUGCAGCCCCUCAACCUUGGACUUCCCAGCCUCCUGAACUAUAAGAAAUUUUUUUCUUUAUAAAUUACAAGUCUGUGGUAUUCUGUUAUAGCAACAAAAAAUGGACUAAGACAAUAGACUGUCAUGAGGAUAAAUGAGUUAGUAAGUGUAGAGUCUUAAGAAUGGUGCUUGGCAUUUAGUAAACAUUAUAACAAUUAGAUGUUAUAUUAUUUGUAUUACUUAUUAUACAGACAUUUAGAAAUGUAUGAAAUGACUGCAUCUCACAAGGAUAUUAUGAAAUAAUUUGGGUAGAAAAGACAUGGCGAUCUAAAGUAAGCCUUGAAAGAUAAGGUACUAAAUCAGGUGGAUCUUAUGAGGGAUGCAAAGGGUCUUAGAGGAGCAUGAGCUCAGAACAGGCUGUGUCUGUGAGCCAUGCUGGGAUCAGGAGCAGCUGAGAGGAAUGGGAAGCUCAGGCAAAGCUGGAGUUGAUUUAAAAUGAUAGACAUAUGUGGUAUAUAACAUGAUCUACAUGAUAGAAUAUGAUAGAAAUAUAUGGGUACUAUUGAUGUCAGGGACCUGGAAAAACAACUGCCUCUGCUGGGAAAUGUGGAAUUGCUUGCUUAUUUCUUCUUUCUCAGUGUUUCUGAAAAACCCAGCCAAAUUUAUUUCAUGAAAUAAUCAUCAAAACAGGGGCAUGUCUGCAACUGCCCAAAGUGAAAUCAGGGCCAUUUUCUAUAUUACUUGUGAUAAAUGGGAAACUUUUCAUUUAAAUACGAAAAGGAUGUAUGUGAAUUACUGAUGUCUCCCCCAACCCUCCCAUGUCUCAUCUCUUCUUUAAAAAUGUCUGGGAGAGGUUAUCAUUAAGGGAAGAGUUAAGUGGAUGAUAUCACUCAAAAUCUUGUAGAUAAUGAAAGAUUAACUUAUACAGCCUUUUAGUUUGGUUCCUUGACAUGCUCCCACUGAAGACAAAUUCUAAAAUAAUAAAAGUUGAGAUGGAAUCCAGUAUCUUCUGCUAAUUCUUACCACUUGUCAUAAUUUUUGUCACAAAGUUACUAUUAUGAUUAAAAAAUAAGUCGAAGUGGCAUAACAAAUUGAA